UCCUACGGGAGGCAGCAGUGAGGAAUAUUGGUCAAUGGACGAGAGUCUGAACCAGCCAUCCCGCGUGCAGGAUGACGGCCCUAUGGGUUGUAAACUGCUUUUCUACGCCAAGAAAUCUAGCUACGAGUAGUUAGUUGACGGUAGCGUAGGAAUAAGCAUCGGCUAACUCCGUGCCAGCAGCCGCGGUAAUACGGAGGAUGCAAGCGUUAUCCGGAUUCAUUGGGUUUAAAGGGUGCGCAGGUGGGGAUGUAAGUCAGUGGUGAAAUACUGCCGCUUAACGGUAGAACUGCCAUUGAUACUGCAUCUCUUGAGUAUGGUUGAGGUAGGCGGAAUGUGUUGUGUAGCGGUGAAAUGCAUAGAUAUGACACAGAACGCCGAUUGCGAAGGCAGCUUACUAAGCCAUUACUGACGCUGAGGCACGAAAGCGUGGGGAGCGAACAGGAUUAGAUACCCUGGUAGUCCACGCCGUAAACGAUGUUCACUCGCUGUCUGCGAUACACAGUAGGCGGCUGAGCGAAAGCAUUAAGUGAACCACCUGGGGAGUACGAUCGCAAGGUUGAAACUCAAAUGAAUUGACGGA
Molecule: ribosomal RNA, 580 nt
Filed under: uncultured bacterium
Lineage: Bacteria
Description: bacterial SSU rRNA
Rfam family: Bacterial small subunit ribosomal RNA
Source: RNAcentral